RNAcentral lists this ribosomal RNA (253 nucleotides) under uncultured bacterium. Its description in RNAcentral is "partial 16S ribosomal RNA". It matches the Rfam family "Bacterial small subunit ribosomal RNA", at positions 524 to 776 of the family's 1533-position model. The record is from RNAcentral.
UACAGAGGUCUCGAGCGUUAGGCGGAAUCACUGGGCUUAAAGCGUGUGUAGGCGGGUCGUUAAGUGCCUUGUGAAAUCCCACGGCUCAACCGUGGAACUGCUUGGCAUACUGGCGGUCUUGAGCAACCUAGGGGCGAGCGGAACAAAUGGUGGAGCGGUGAAAUGCGUAGAUAUCAUUUGGAACGCCAAUGGUGAAAACAGCUCGCUGGGGGUUUGCUGACGCUGAGACACGAAAGCCAGGGGAGCAAACGGG